This 253-nucleotide ribosomal RNA is filed under the name uncultured bacterium. Its description in RNAcentral is "partial 16S ribosomal RNA". It matches the Rfam family "Bacterial small subunit ribosomal RNA", at positions 524 to 776 of the family's 1533-position model. The record is from RNAcentral.
UACGGAGGGUGCGAGCGUUGUCCGGAAUCACUGGGCGUAAAGGGCGCGUAGGCGGCCUGAUAAGUAGGGGGUGAAAUCCUGCGGCUUAACCGCAGGGCUGCCUUCUAAACUGUCAGGCUAGAGCACAGUAGAGGCAGGUGGAAUUCCCGGUGUAGCGGUGGAAUGCGUAGAGAUCGGGAGGAACAUCCGUGGCGAAGGCGGCCAUCUGGAUCAACACUGACGCUGAGGCACGAAAGCGUGGGGAGCAAACAGG